UGGAAGUAAAAGUCGUAACAAGGUUUCCGUAGGUGAACCUGCGGAAGGAUCAUUAACGCGCAGGCCGGAGGCUGGCCCCCCACGAUAGGGAUCAAAUGUUCCAUCAGGGGUGUGCAGAUGUGCGCCGGCCGUUCGCCCCAUUCUUGUCUACCUUACUCGGUUGCCUCGGCGGGCCGCGCUCUCCUGGGAGAGUCGUCCGGCGAGCCUCCCCCCGGGGGGCUUUAGCUGGACCGCGCUCGCCGGAGGACAGACACCAAAAAUCCUUGAAGAGCUGUCAGUCUGAGCGUUAGCAAGUUAAAAUCAGUUAAAACUUUCAACAACGGAUCUCUUGGUUCCGGCAUCGAUGAAGAACGCAGCGAAAUGCGAUAAGUAAUGUGAAUUGCAGAAUUCCGUGAAUCAUCGAAUCUUUGAACGCACAUUGCGCCCUCUGGUAUUCCGGGGGGCAUGCCUGUUCGAGCGUCAUUUCAACCCCUCAAGCCCGGCUUGUGUGAUGGACGACCGUCCGGCCCCCUUUUUUCGGGGGCGGGACGCGCCCGAAAAGCAGUGGCCAGGCCGCGAUUCCGGCUUCCUGGGCGAAUGGGCAGUUAAACCAGCGCCCUCAGGACCGGCCGCUCUGGCCCUCCCCCAAAUCUCUUUGAGAUAUUUUUCAGGUUGACCUCGGAUCAGGUAGGGAUACCCGCUGAACUUAAGCAUAUCAAUAA
RNAcentral lists this unclassified non-coding RNA (701 nucleotides) under Trichophyton africanum. RNAcentral's name for it is "sequence contains 18S rRNA gene, ITS1, 5.8S rRNA gene, ITS2, 28S rRNA gene". The stretch from base 309 to 462 matches the Rfam family "5.8S ribosomal RNA". Lineage: Eukaryota; Fungi; Ascomycota; Eurotiomycetes; Onygenales; Arthrodermataceae. The record is from RNAcentral.